This 492-nucleotide ribosomal RNA is filed under the name uncultured bacterium. RNAcentral describes it as "partial 16S ribosomal RNA". It matches the Rfam family "Bacterial small subunit ribosomal RNA", at positions 29 to 507 of the family's 1533-position model. The record is from RNAcentral.
AGUGAACGCUGGCGGUAGGCCUAACACAUGCAAGUCGAACGGCAGCACAGUAAGAGCUUGCUCUUACGGGUGGCGAGUGGCGGACGGGUGAGGAAUACAUCGGAAUCUACUUUUUCGUGGGGGAUAACGUAGGGAAACUUACGCUAAUACCGCAUACGACCUACGGGGGAAAGCAGGGGAUCUUCGGACCUUGCGCGAUUGAAUGAGCCGAUGUCGGAUUAGCUAGUUGGCGGGGUAAAGGCCCACCAAGGCGACGAUCCGUAGCUGGUCUGAGAGGAUGAUCAGCCGCACUGGAACUGAGACACGGUCCAGACUCCUACGGGAGGCAGCAGUGGGGAAUAUUGGACAAUGGGCGCAAGCCUGAUCCAGCCAUACCGCGUGGGUGAAGAAGGCCUUCGGGUUGUAAAGCCCUUUUGUUGGGAAAGAAAAGCAGCAGGUUAAUACCCCGCUGUUCUGACGGUACCCAAAGAAUAAGCACCGGCUAACUUCGUG